This 999-nucleotide ribosomal RNA is filed under the name Klebsiella pneumoniae. RNAcentral describes it as "bacterial SSU rRNA". It matches the Rfam family "Bacterial small subunit ribosomal RNA", at positions 8 to 998 of the family's 1533-position model. Lineage: Bacteria; Pseudomonadati; Pseudomonadota; Gammaproteobacteria; Enterobacterales; Enterobacteriaceae. The record is from RNAcentral. RNAcentral also lists the same sequence under 8 other names.
AGAGUUUGAUCAUGGCUCAGAUUGAACGCUGGCGGCAGGCCUAACACAUGCAAGUCGAGCGGUAGCACAGAGAGCUUGCUCUCGGGUGACGAGCGGCGGACGGGUGAGUAAUGUCUGGGAAACUGCCUGAUGGAGGGGGAUAACUACUGGAAACGGUAGCUAAUACCGCAUAACGUCGCAAGACCAAAGUGGGGGACCUUCGGGCCUCAUGCCAUCAGAUGUGCCCAGAUGGGAUUAGCUAGUAGGUGGGGUAACGGCUCACCUAGGCGACGAUCCCUAGCUGGUCUGAGAGGAUGACCAGCCACACUGGAACUGAGACACGGUCCAGACUCCUACGGGAGGCAGCAGUGGGGAAUAUUGCACAAUGGGCGCAAGCCUGAUGCAGCCAUGCCGCGUGUGUGAAGAAGGCCUUCGGGUUGUAAAGCACUUUCAGCGGGGAGGAAGGCGAUAAGGUUAAUAACCUUGUCGAUUGACGUUACCCGCAGAAGAAGCACCGGCUAACUCCGUGCCAGCAGCCGCGGUAAUACGGAGGGUGCAAGCGUUAAUCGGAAUUACUGGGCGUAAAGCGCACGCAGGCGGUCUGUCAAGUCGGAUGUGAAAUCCCCGGGCUCAACCUGGGAACUGCAUUCGAAACUGGCAGGCUAGAGUCUUGUAGAGGGGGGUAGAAUUCCAGGUGUAGCGGUGAAAUGCGUAGAGAUCUGGAGGAAUACCGGUGGCGAAGGCGGCCCCCUGGACAAAGACUGACGCUCAGGUGCGAAAGCGUGGGGAGCAAACAGGAUUAGAUACCCUGGUAGUCCACGCCGUAAACGAUGUCGAUUUGGAGGUUGUGCCCUUGAGGCGUGGCUUCCGGAGCUAACGCGUUAAAUCGACCGCCUGGGGAGUACGGCCGCAAGGUUAAAACUCAAAUGAAUUGACGGGGGCCCGCACAAGCGGUGGAGCAUGUGGUUUAAUUCGAUGCAACGCGAAGAACCUUACCUGGUCUUGACAUCCACAGAACUU